This is a non-coding RNA of Cinara cedri, 713 nucleotides long. The record is from the annotation of a GenBank genome assembly. NCBI's taxonomy places the organism in Eukaryota, Metazoa, Arthropoda, Insecta, Hemiptera, Aphididae.
AAAAAAAGGGUGAUAAAUUGAUUUCUAUUUAAUUUUUUUAUACGAGAGGCACGCGUAACGCGCUUAAAAUUUUACUACUGUACCUGCUUUUUUGUUUGUAGGUAAACCCGAUACUGGUGUAGACUGUGUAGGUACACUUUUCAAGUACACGGUUUUGUUUAUUUGAAUGUUAAUUCCAAGUGAAUACGUCAGAGUGUAUAUGUACGUAAUAUGAAUAUAAUGAAUGUCAUGAAUAUUACAUGAAAUAAUUAUAAAAUCAAUGUCGUAGCCAACUACGUAUGCUCACUAUAUAGAAUAAUAUGUUCAACUCGCAGUAAAAUUGUACGGAAUAAUGUUAUUGCAAGUGUUACGAUUGUUUAUAAUAUUUAUACCCCGUGGCCAAGCAAUAUAAUAAGCAGGUAGUAUUUACUAUUUUAUAUGAAUACACGGGAACGUCGAUGCACACGAAUUGCGUUCCGAAAUCCCUUUUCCACAUGAACUGACGUCAGUCGCGCGGUAUAAACAAUAAUAAUUAUUGUACAAUCUACUAAUUCUGCGGCAAACUUUCUAGUUUUUUAUUUGACCCGGUAAACAAUUUAGUGUAUCACUCAAUUCAGUGCUCAAAUAGCUUGAGUGAAUGUGGCUGAAUGUUUGCCUUUGCGUAAAUCUGGGUGACUUUUAUUUAACAGUCAAUCAUUACCGACUUUUGUUCAUUUGUUCCCGAUUGAUAUUUU